GCUGUGAUGACACUUUGUGGCAUUGAUCUGUUGGAAAUGACUGUCCACAAUCAUCCUCUAAGAAGUUCUGAGCUU
This is a small nucleolar RNA of Pygocentrus nattereri (red-bellied piranha), 75 nucleotides long. Ensembl annotates it as Small nucleolar RNA SNORD61. NCBI's taxonomy places the organism in Eukaryota, Metazoa, Chordata, Actinopteri, Characiformes, Serrasalmidae. The record is from Ensembl.